Molecule: long non-coding RNA, 670 nt
Organism: Morus notabilis
Lineage: Eukaryota; Viridiplantae; Streptophyta; Magnoliopsida; Rosales; Moraceae
Exons: 4
Source: RefSeq, a predicted model, not a curated record
CUUUCGUCCAGGUACUACAAGUCACUGCCGCCCAUAAGGCUUAUGGGACCUUGUGCUUGUUGACAACUGUGGGCUAUCAACUGGGACUUUAUGAUAAGUUAGAUCUUGCCUUGUAUUACCCAUAUGUAUUUCAUCGUUUUCAGGUGUGGAGGUUGAUUACAACCUUGUUUUUCCUUGGUGGCUUUUCCAUUAAUUUUGGGAUCCGUCUCUUGAUGAUGUUCCUAUAGAUUCUUGCUAUUUAGGCUCCAAUAAUUCUGCCUUCCUGCAGCAGGUAUGUAUCUAUAACUUGCAUCUCCUUACAGAUACUUAAUGCUUUAUUUACAGGUUAAAUGGUGGAAGACAAGACUUCCGGGCAAGACUUCAGGUCAAUAGUUGCUUUGCUGGAGGAGAUGACAUUUUGUUGGAACAUUUUGUCGAGGAGAUUUUUCCCACCAUCAUUCUUUGAUAUAAUGCGUGUUGAAGUAGUUCGAGCAAGUCUCAGUUAAAUAGAGCACAUUUUGGAUACUUUGAUAUAUCUAGUUUCUGUUUUCCUUGUUUUGAAUGUUAAGGUUUUGGACAUUGUAUGAAUUAUGUUGUAGACGUAAUUGUAUUGCUAGCUUGGUAGAUACUGAUAACAGUUGAUAUGUUGAAUGUUUUUAUGUUUUAAUUUGAAUGUUCCUAUUUAGAUAUA